Molecule: long non-coding RNA, 193 nt
Organism: Sebastes umbrosus (honeycomb rockfish)
Lineage: Eukaryota; Metazoa; Chordata; Actinopteri; Perciformes; Sebastidae
Exons: 3
Source: RefSeq, a predicted model, not a curated record
CAUCGAUCAGGCUCAUAGGGAGUCAGCAAAUCACCGAUAUAGGCAGGAGCCAGACCAUUCAAGGCUUUAAAAACAAGCAGUAAAAGCCUAAAAUCAAUUCUAAAACUCACAGGUAACCAGUGAAGGGCAGCAAGGAUUGGUGUGAUGUGGUCGCUUCUCUUGGUACGAGUUGGUCAAUUCAGGAAGAAAGUCA